This 799-nucleotide ribosomal RNA is filed under the name uncultured Bacillota bacterium. Its description in RNAcentral is "bacterial SSU rRNA". It matches the Rfam family "Bacterial small subunit ribosomal RNA", at positions 63 to 866 of the family's 1533-position model. The record is from RNAcentral. Lineage: Bacteria; Bacillati; Bacillota.
CGAGCGAGAAAGUGUAGCAAUACAUGAGUACAGCGGCGCACGGGUGAGUAACACGUGGAAUAACCUGCCUCAAAGUGGGGAAUAACACCGGGAAACCGGUGCUAAUACCGCAUAUUCUGAUGAGAUCUGCGGAUUUUGUCAGGAAAGGAGCAAUUCGCUAUGAGAGGGGUCCGCGGCUGAUUAGCUAGUUGGUGAGGUAAUGGCUCACCAAGGCCACGAUCAGUAGCCGGUCUGAGAGGACGGUCGGCCACACUGGAACUGAGACACGGUCCAGACUCCUACGGGAGGCAGCAGUGGGGAAUUUUUCGCAAUGGGGGCAACCCUGACGAAGCAAUGCCGCGUGGAUGAUGAAGUCUCUUGGGACGUAAAAUCCUUUCGACAGGGACGAAACCGCAAGGUUGACGGUACCUGUAGAAGAAGCCCCGGCUAACUCCGUGCCAGCAGCCGCGGUAAUACGGGGGGGGCAAGCGUUGUUCGGAAUUACUGGGCGUAAAGGGUGCGUAGGCGGCUCUCUAAGUCGGAUGUGAAAACUCUGGGCUCAACCCAGAGCCUGCAUCCAAAACUGGAGGGCUAGGGUUCUGGAGGGGAAAGCGGAAUUCCUGGUGUACGGGUGAAAUGCGUAGAUUUCAGGAGGAACACCGGGUGGCGAAGGCGGCUUUCUGGACAGAUACCGACCCUGAGGCACGAAAGCUAGGGGAGCAAACAGGAUUAGAUACCCUGGUAGUCCUAGCCCUAACCUAUGGAUACUUGCUGUGGGGGGGAUUGAAACCCCUUGGGGGCGAACCUAACGCAUUAAGUA